AACAGCUCAAAUUUGAAAUCUGGCCCUAGGCCCGAGUUGUAAUUUGCAGAGGAUGCUUUUGGUGCGGUGCCUUCCAAGUUCCCUAGAACGGGACGCCAGAGAGGGUGAGAGCCCCGUACAGUUGGACACCAAGCCUUUGUAAAGCUCCUUCGACGAGUCGAGUAGUUUGGGAAUGCUGCUCAAAAUGGGAGGUAUAUUUCUUCUAAAGCUAAAUACCGGCCAGAGACCGAUAGCGCACAAGUAGAGUGAUCGAAAGAUGAAAAGCACUUUGAAAAGAGGGUUAAACAGCACGUGAAAUUGUUAAAAGGGAAGCGCUUGUGACCAGACUUGCGUCCGGUGAAUCACCCAGCUCUCGCGGCUGGGGCACUUCGCCGGCUCAGGCCAGCAUCAGCUCGCUGUCGGGGACAAAAGCUUCAGGAACGUAGCUCUCUUCGGGGAGUGUUAUAGCCUGUUGCAUAAUACCCUUCGGCGGGCUGAGGUACGCGCUCCGCAAGGAUGCUGGCAUAAUGGUCAUCAGCGACCCGUCUUGAAACACGGACCAAGGAGUCAACCUUAUGUGCGAGUGUUCGGGUGUCAAACCCCUACGCGUAAUGAAAGUGAACGCAGGUGAGAGCUUCGGCGCAUCAUCGACCGAUCCUGAUGUUCUCGGAUGGAUUUGAGUAAGAGCAUAUAGGGUUGGACCCGAAAGAAGGUGAACUAUGCGUGUAUAGGGUGAAGCCAGAGGAAACUCUGGUGGAGGCUCGCAGCGGUUCUGACGUGCAAAUCGAUCGUCAAAUAUGCGCAUGGGGGCGAAAGACUAAUCGAACCUUCUAGUAGCUGGUUUCCGCCGAAGUUUCCCUCAGGAUAGCAGUGUUGAACUCAGUUUUAUGAGGUAAAGCGAAUGAUUAGGGACUCGGGGGCGCUAUAUUGCCUUCAUCCAUUCUCAAACUUUAAAUAUGUAAGAAGCCCUUGUUGCUUAAUUGAACGUGGGCAUUCGAAUGUAUCAACACUAGUGGGCCAUUUUUGGUAAGCAGAACUGGCGAUGCGGGAUGAACCGAACGCGAGGUUAAGGUGCCAGAGUAGACGCUCAUCAGACACCACAAAAGGUGUUAGUACAUCUUGACAGCAGGACGGUGGCCAUGGAAGUCGGAAUCCGCUAAGGACUGUGUAACAACUCACCUGCCGAUGUACUAGCCCUGAAAAUGGAUGGCGCUCAAGCGUCUCACCCAUACCUCGCCCUCA
RNAcentral lists this ribosomal RNA (1221 nucleotides) under fungal sp. RNAcentral describes it as "eukaryotic LSU rRNA". It matches the Rfam family "Eukaryotic large subunit ribosomal RNA", at positions 103 to 1357 of the family's 3401-position model. Lineage: Eukaryota; Fungi. The record is from RNAcentral.